UGGGGAAUAUUGCACAAUGGGCGCAAGCCUGAUGCAGCCAUGCCGCGUGUGUGAAGAAGGCCUUCGGGUUGUAAAGCACUUUCAGCGGGGAGGAAGGCGAUAAGGUUAAUAACCUUGUCGAUUGACGUUACCCGCAGAAGAAGCACCGGCUAACUACGUGCCAGCAGCCGCGGUAAUACGUAGGUGGCAAGCGUUGUCCGGAUUUAUUGGGCGUAAAGCGAGCGCAGGCGGUUUCUUAAGUCUGAUGUGAAAGCCCCCGGCUCAACCGGGGAGGGUCAUUGGAAACUGGGAGACUUGAGUGCAGAAGAGGAGAGUGGAAUUCCAUGUGUAGCGGUGAAAUGCGUAGAUAUAUGGAGGAACACCAGUGGCGAAGGCGGCUCUCUGGUCUGUAACUGACGCUGAGGCUCGAAAGCGUGGGGAGCAAACAGG
This 429-nucleotide ribosomal RNA is filed under the name Chloroflexota bacterium. Its description in RNAcentral is "Chloroflexi bacterium partial 16S ribosomal RNA". It matches the Rfam family "Bacterial small subunit ribosomal RNA", at positions 355 to 776 of the family's 1533-position model. Lineage: Bacteria; Bacillati; Chloroflexota. The record is from RNAcentral.